This 1347-nucleotide ribosomal RNA is filed under the name uncultured bacterium. Its description in RNAcentral is "partial 16S ribosomal RNA". It matches the Rfam family "Bacterial small subunit ribosomal RNA", at positions 28 to 1381 of the family's 1533-position model. The record is from RNAcentral.
GACGAACGCUGGCGGCGUGCUUAACACAUGCAAGUCGAACGGAAAGGCCCUGCUUUUGUGGGGUGCUCGAGUGGCGAACGGGUGAGUAACACGUGAGUAACCUGCCCUUGACUUUGGGAUAACUUCAGGAAACUGGGGCUAAUACCGGAUAGGAGCUCCUGCUGCAUGGCGGGGGUUGGAAAGUUUCGGCGGUUGGGGAUGGACUCGCGGCUUAUCAGCUUGUUGGUGGGGUAGUGGCUUACCAAGGCUUUGACGGGUAGCCGGCCUGAGAGGGUGACCGGCCACAUUGGGACUGAGAUACGGCCCAGACUCCUACGGGAGGCAGCAGUGGGGAAUAUUGCACAAUGGGCGGAAGCCUGAUGCAGCAACGCCGCGUGCGGGAUGACGGCCUUCGGGUUGUAAACCGCUUUCGCCUGUGACGAAGCGUGAGUGACGGUAAUGGGUAAAGAAGCACCGGCUAACUACGUGCCAGCAGCCGCGGUGAUACGGAGGGUGCGAGCGUUGUCCGGAUUUAUUUGGGCGUAAAGGGCUCGUAGGUGGUUGAUCGCGUCGGAAGUGUAAUCUUGGGGCUUAACCCUGAGCGUGCUUUCGAUACGGGUUGACUUGAGGAAGGUAGGGGAGAAUGGAAUUCCUGGUGGAGCGGUGGAAUGCGCAGAUAUCAGGAGGAACACCAGUGGCGAAGGCGGUUCUCUGGGCCUUUCCUGACGCUGAGGAGCGAAAGCGUGGGGAGCGAACAGGCUUAGAUACCCUGGUAGUCCACGCUGUAAACGGUGGGUACUAGGUGUGGGGUCCAUUCCACGGGUUCCGUGCCGUAGCUAACGCUUUAAGUACCCCGCCUGGGGAGUACGGCCGCAAGGCUAAAGCUCAAAGGAAUUGACGGGGCCCCGCACAAGCGGCGGAGCAUGCGGAUUAAUUCGAUGCAACGCGUAGAACCUUACCUGGGUUUGACAUGGAUCGGGAGUGCUCAGAGAUGGGUGUGCCUCUUUUGGGGUCGGUUCACAGGUGGUGCAUGGCUGUCGUCAGCUCGUGUCGUGAGAUGUUGGGUUAAGUCCCGCAACGAGCGCAACCCUUGUUCACUGUUGCCAGCACGUUAUGGUGGGGACUCAGUGGAGACCGCCGGGGUCAACUCGGAGGAAGGUGGGGAUGACGUCAGGUCAUCAUGCCCCUUAUGUCCAGGGCUUCACGCAUGCUACAAUGGCUGGUACAGAGAGUGGCGAGCCUGUGAGGGUGAGCGAAUCUCGGAAAGCCGGUCUCAGUUCGGAUUGGGGUCUGCAACUCGACCUCAUGAAGUCGGAGUCGCUAGUAAUCGCAGAUCAGCAACGCUGCGGUGAAUACGUUCCCGGGGCU